GCAGCGAAGUUAGAGGAAUUAACACCCGACUCAUAAUCGGAUAUUUCGACGGUUCGAAUCCGUCCGUUUGCU
This 72-nucleotide transfer RNA is filed under the name Salmonella enterica subsp. enterica serovar Infantis. RNAcentral's name for it is "tRNA-Met". It matches the Rfam family "tRNA". From Rfam's summary of the family: Transfer RNA (tRNA) molecules are approximately 80 nucleotides in length. Their secondary structure includes four short double-helical elements and three loops (D, anti-codon, and T loops). RNAcentral also lists the same sequence under 20 other names. The record is from RNAcentral. Lineage: Bacteria; Pseudomonadati; Pseudomonadota; Gammaproteobacteria; Enterobacterales; Enterobacteriaceae.